RNAcentral lists this long non-coding RNA (476 nucleotides) under Prunus persica (peach). RNAcentral's name for it is "long non-coding RNA (PPER_LNC002958)". The record is from RNAcentral. Lineage: Eukaryota; Viridiplantae; Streptophyta; Magnoliopsida; Rosales; Rosaceae.
UCUUCUUCUUCUUCUUCAUCUUGCUAAGAUCUAAUAGGCUGCUCCAUCUAUGGGUGAAAGUAGUGAAGAACAAAUGCUUCACGCUCCAUGCUUGAUCACACAAUAUGAUAGCUACACAAAAGCACGGGAAGAUAGCUGCGUGAUCAUGAAAGGACAUGAUGAUGAUGGUGAUGAUGACGAUAAUGGGUAUGCGUACGACACCACAUCAUCCAUAUCGGUUUCCGAUCGAUCGACAUCUUCUUUGGAGUUGGUAGAUGAUGCAUCUUCAUCAACAACAACAUCAUCAUCAUCAUGUUCUUCUUCCUUCAAUUCUCAUGGAUCUUUGCAUGACUUGUCAGAUCUCAUGGCCCAGCUACCCAUCAAGUAAGAUUAAAGAAAAAAGUAAACUCAUCUCAAUUCAUUAUUUCUAAUUUUAUAUAUCAACCUGAUACUUUUAGCUAGAUGUUGCAUAUAAUUAUGUAUUUUGGAAUCUACAG